Molecule: ribosomal RNA, 195 nt
Filed under: Dolichospermum sp. FACHB-1091
Lineage: Bacteria; Bacillati; Cyanobacteriota; Cyanophyceae; Nostocales; Aphanizomenonaceae
Description: partial 16S ribosomal RNA
Rfam family: Bacterial small subunit ribosomal RNA
Source: RNAcentral
AAAAUGGAGAGUUUGAUCCUGGCUCAGGAUGAACGCUGGCGGUAUGCUUAACACAUGCAAGUCGAACGGUCUUUUCGGAGACAGUGGCGGACGGGUGAGUAACGCGUAAGAAUCUACCUUCAGGUCGGGGACAACCACUGGAAACGGUGGCUAAUACCGGAUGUGCCGAGAGGUGAAAGGCUUGCUGCCUGAAGA